GAUGAAGAACGUAGCGAAAUGCGAUACUUGGUGUGAAUUGCAGAAUCCCGUGAACCAUCGAGUCUUUGAACGCAAGUUGCGCCUGAAGCCAUUAGGCUGAAGGCACGUCUGCCUGGGCGUCACACGUCGUUGCCCCCCCAUCUACUCCUUCGGGAUUGCGGGGGGCGGAUGAUGGCCUCCCGUGCGCCUCGUCGCGCGGUUGGCAUAAAUGCCAAGUCCUCGGCGACGCACGCCACGACAAUCGGUGGUUGCGAAACCUCGGUUGCCCGUCGUGUGCGGUCGUCGCGCAUCGAGGGCUCGAAAAAAUUGCCGGGCUCCGGCUCGGCUUUCAACGCGACCCCAGGUCAGGCGGGGUUACCCGCUGAAUUUAAGCAUAUCAAUAAGCGGAGGA
RNAcentral lists this unclassified non-coding RNA (391 nucleotides) under soil metagenome. RNAcentral's name for it is "partial contains 5.8S ribosomal RNA, internal transcribed spacer 2, and large subunit ribosomal RNA". The stretch from base 1 to 122 matches the Rfam family "5.8S ribosomal RNA", at positions 35 to 154 of the family's 154-position model. The record is from RNAcentral.